UACGUAGGGUGCAAGCGUUGUCCGGAAUUAUUGGGCGUAAAGAGCUCGUAGGCGGUUUGUUGCGUCUGCUGUGAAAACUCGGGGCUUAACCCCGGGCCUGCAGUGGAUACUGGCAGACUAGAGUGCGGUAGGGGAGACUGGAAUUCCUGGUGUAGCGGUGAAAUGCGCAGAUAUCAGGAGGAACACCAGUGGCGAAGGCGGGUCUCUGGGCCGUAACUGACGCUGAGGAGCGAAAGCGUGGGGAGCGAACAGG
This 253-nucleotide ribosomal RNA is filed under the name uncultured bacterium. RNAcentral's name for it is "partial 16S ribosomal RNA". It matches the Rfam family "Bacterial small subunit ribosomal RNA", at positions 524 to 776 of the family's 1533-position model. The record is from RNAcentral.